UCCUUGAUUGGUGGUAGAAGCGCUUCCGCAUUCAACACAUGCAUAUGCCCCUGUCCGUGGGGUUACUGUGAACAAAACAGCGUGUCCAAAGCAACCACAUGUCUGGCUGAAUGAUCUAGCAUGGAAUAACAAGGCAUCGACCACUGGAGUCAGCCUUUUUGUUGGUUUUACAUGACCCAGUUGGGCAAUGCAGGGCUUGUGCUUCAUUGAGGUUCUUAGUCAGCUCUACCGAACUGUCUUCCCUCAGUUGGACCUUGUUCCCUAUCGGGAUCAAUGGAAGCCAUCGGGGUGGUAUGUAUUCCGACGUGAGCGGUGAAAUGCUUAGACCGUUGGAAGACAAACGACAGCGAAGGCAUUCCGCCAGAAUGUUUUCAUUAAUCAAGAACGAGAGUGUGGGGAUCGAAGAUGAUCAGAUACCAUCGUAGUCCAUUACCGUAAACUAUGCCAACUCGGCAUUGGGAGUCUGUUCACUUUGAAGACUCUCCCAGCAUCAUCCCCCAAUAACGAGAAAUCCAAGUCUAUGGGUUCAGGGGGGAGUACAGUCGCAAGGCUGAAACUUAAAGGAAUUGACGGAGUGACACCACAAGGCGUGGAGUAUGCGGCUUAAUUUGACCCAACACGGGGAAGCUUACCAGGUCAGACACAGUAAGGAUUGACAGAUUGAGAGCUCUUUCUUGAUCCUAUGGAUGGUGGUGCAUGGCCGUUUCUGGUUCGUGGAGUGAUCUGUCUGCUUAAUUGCGAUAACGAACGAGAUCUCUACCUCUAAAUAGGCGCCGGUCUCGCAUGUAAGUAGGGAUGUGUUGGGGGCCUUCGUGUCCCCUCAUGUCCUGAGAGUGCCGGGAUCGCUUCUUAGACGGACUGUGCAUGUCUUUAAUGCACGGAAGAGGGAGUCAAUAGCAGGUCUGUGAUGCUCCUAGAUGUUCUGGGCUGCACGCGCACUACACUGGCACAGUAAACGAGUUGCACCUGCUUCGGCAGUCCUGCUUAGAAGUGAGCGUGGGAAAUCUUAGAAAACUGUGCCGUGCUGGGGAUAGAUGAUUGCGAUUAUUUGUCUUGAACGAGGAAUGCCUAGUAGAGGUACUUCAUCAGAGUACCUUGAUUGUGUCCCUGCCAUUUGUACACACCGCCCGUCGUUGCUACCGAUUGGCUGUAAAAUAGAGGCCUUAAGAGUCGCUUCCGCAAAGCUUUGCCUUUGAGGUUGUGACAAAUCUGGCCAAUAUUUCAUUGCUAGAGGAAGCAAAAGUCGUAACAAGG
Molecule: ribosomal RNA, 1254 nt
Filed under: metagenome
Description: bacterial SSU rRNA
Rfam family: Eukaryotic small subunit ribosomal RNA
Source: RNAcentral